CAGUCUUUCUUUGGACCUACAAGAGAGCUUUAGUCUGAAUUUCAGUGACAGUUUACUCUGACAUUACAAAGUCCUCCCAAAAUACCUGUUCUGCCUGGAACCUUUGAUGUAGACUGAUGCUUUACUUAAACCUGUCAUAGUAUUUCAGAACUAGCAGCAAACAAAACUAUUUUUUAAAUUAUUUUUAUAUUUGGAAGGGCAGCUCCCAGAGGCAAGUGGGGUAGAGAAAAAUCAGAUGAAAGUACUGGCUACAAAGAGUCCUCACCUCCAAGUUGUUUAAAUGUCAGCAGAUGACAUUUAGCUAACCAUGUCUUGAUUCUGCUGUAAUGGAGGUGGAGAGAACCAGAGGAGCUUCAUGUAGACACUUCACCCUUCAGGAAAGGACAUGACAGGUAUAGUUGUCAACCCUGCUUUGUUUAGGAAGGAACAAAUAGCAUGGAUAUGAGCAAAAAAGGAAGGGAAAAAAAACCCCCAAAAAUCAAAAGAUCUGCUUCUGACUGUACAGCUGGGAGGUACACUAGGCUAUUUGAUUGUAAGAUCCUUGUGGGAUUCCCCUUUAUAAACCUAAUUAAAACGUGCACUGACCAUGUGUGACACGAUUCUCUUCACUACCACCUAGUGGGAAACUCCUCCAUAACCCAGCUGCAGAGCUGCUACCAAUCUUAACCUCAGCCUGAUGGUAGAAACAAGGAAUAAGUGGAGAGAGAAAAUGACAGAUUACUGGGAAGGAGGACACAGUCCUGUUUUCACAUACAGGGGAGAAGAGAUUACUUUGGAACAGUUAAUACAAACCCAAAUACCACAAAUGUGAGAAAAACAAGCAGGUAUCUCUUGCUGUCUUCAAACUUUAAGCUUUCCAUGUUACAAUGACCAAGAUUAUAUUAAUCAGAGUGACUUGAGAAUCAAGUCAUGGCCUG
Parus major (Great Tit) is the source of this 917-nucleotide long non-coding RNA. RefSeq lists it as uncharacterized. The record is from RefSeq and is a predicted model, not a curated record. NCBI's taxonomy places the organism in Eukaryota, Metazoa, Chordata, Aves, Passeriformes, Paridae. The transcript has 2 exons.